This 379-nucleotide ribosomal RNA is filed under the name uncultured eukaryote. RNAcentral describes it as "partial 18S ribosomal RNA". It matches the Rfam family "Eukaryotic small subunit ribosomal RNA", at positions 592 to 975 of the family's 1831-position model. The record is from RNAcentral.
CAAUAGCGUAUAUUAAAGUUGUUGCGGUUAAAAAGCUCGUAGUUGGAUUUCUGCCGAGGACGACCGGUCCGCCCUCUGGGUGAGCAUCUGGCUCGGCCUGGGCAUCCUCUUGGAGAACGUAGCUGCACUUGACUGUGUGGGGCGGUAUCCAGGACUUUUACUUUGAGGAAAUUAGAGUGUUUCAAGCAGGCAUCCGCCUUGAAUACAUUAGCAUGGAAUAAUAAGAUAGGACCUCGGUUCUAUUUUGUUGGUUUCUAGAGCUGAGGUAAUGAUUAAUAGGGAUAGUUGGGGGCAUUCGUAUUUAACUGUCAGAGGUGAAAUUCUUGGAUUUGUUAAAGACGGACUACUGCGAANGNAUUUGGNAAGGAUGUUUNCAUUG